Molecule: long non-coding RNA, 962 nt
Organism: Oenanthe melanoleuca
Lineage: Eukaryota; Metazoa; Chordata; Aves; Passeriformes; Muscicapidae
Exons: 4
Source: RefSeq, a predicted model, not a curated record
GGCUGUGAUGCGGGGGGGGCCGACCCGAUGACGUGCGGGGCCGUGGGCGGAGCCCGGGCCGCUGACGUGCGGGCGCUAACGUGACGGCGCUUCCGGUUCGGGUGCCGGCGGUGCCGCCGCUCCCUCGGCGGGCGGAGUGUGGGGCUCGGGCACCCGGCGGCAUCGGGGCGGGCGCUGGGGCCGCGCGGCGCUGCCGCUGCUGCUCCGGGCUGCUGCCGGGGCUCCCGUGCCGCCGGCCGUGCGCGGGAGGGCGGUGCGGGGAUUUCCCCGCGCUGAGGGGAACCGGCCCCGGCGCCUCCCGAACCCGCCGCUCCGGCGCUGACAGGGAGUUUCUAUCCAGCGUAGGCAGAGAAUUCUUUACACCUAUGUCCUGGAUGUGUGGAUGUCCCGAUUGAGGGCAGUGAUGGCUUUCAUGAAGAAAUCUUUAAAUGAAGACAGGAUUAUCCAAACAUUUCCCUUCCCUGCUGUUGUCCCUGCUGCAUUAGAAGUUACUGCUUCAGCCUGAAGAUGGAACAGGUGUUUUAUUAUCUUCUGUGCAAGCGAAAGGGGUGCAGAUCCAUGGUGUUUCCUCUUCAAGAGAGGCAUUAAAGCUCUGUAGGUGCUUCUGCCCUUUUUCCCUGGCCCUAAAGAGAAGAGACACCGUCCCUGCAUGGACCAUCUGGCUUCUGUCACAGUGCUUUUAGGACAGUGUGGAGAUCAGGAGAGGAAGGUGGUUUCCAUGGCUGUAGGCAGCUCUUCCCAAGAUCAGGGAGAGAGGACUGCGCUGUUAAGUAUGAAAUGGAUGCAUUUUCCAAAGAAAGCUUCUUGAGAAAUGAAGCUCUGGUGGCAAAUAUUGCAAAACUUUGUGGGUUUUUUUGCUUUAAACUUUUGGUAAAAUCAGCCAGUUCUUAAGUUUACACUGACAAAUUACUUCUAAAUUACCUCUACUUUUACCAGGUAUUUGUUUAACACAAGGCAUUGGC